GGACACUGCAAGGGAUCAUGGAUCACGAUGGAACCCUAGGAAAUACAGUGAACAGACAAUAACUGAGCAAGUACCAGGUAAAAAUACCAAAGAGGAAACAGAGACUUUGCCUGAGACACCUUCCCCAGUCAAUUGGAAAAAAAAAGACAAGGGAUAUGCUACAGCUAUGGAAACCUGUCGUAGGUGAGC
Molecule: long non-coding RNA, 189 nt
Filed under: Callithrix jacchus (white-tufted-ear marmoset)
Lineage: Eukaryota; Metazoa; Chordata; Mammalia; Primates; Cebidae
Description: lncRNA (ENSCJAG00000085315.1)
Source: RNAcentral